This 668-nucleotide ribosomal RNA is filed under the name uncultured bacterium. Its description in RNAcentral is "bacterial SSU rRNA". The stretch from base 1 to 540 matches the Rfam family "Bacterial small subunit ribosomal RNA", at positions 338 to 873 of the family's 1533-position model. The record is from RNAcentral.
CCUACGGGAGGCAGCAGUAAGGAAUAUUGGUCAAUGGGCGCAAGCCUGAACCAGCCAUGCCGCGUGCAGGAAGACGGCCCUAUGGGUUGUAAACUGCUUUUGAACAAGAGAAAACCUCGGUACGUGUACCGAGCUGAUAGUAUUGUUAGAAUAAGCAUCGGCUAACUUCGUGCCAGCAGCCGCGGUAAGACGAAGGAUGCAAGCGUUAUCCGGAUUCAUUGGGUUUAAAGGGUGCGUAGGCGGCCUGAUAAGUCAGUGGUGAAAUCUCUCAGCUUAACUGAGAAACUGCCAUUGAUACUGUCGGGCUUGAGUACAGAUGAUGUGGGCGGAAUAUGACAUGUAGUGGUGAAAUACUUAGAUAUGUCAUAGAACACCGAUUGCGAAGGCAGCUCACAAAACUGUAACUGACGCUGAGGCACGAAAGUGCGGGGAUCAAACAGGAUUAGAUACCCUGGUAGUCCGCACCGUAAACGAUGAUUACUCGUUGUUGGCAAUAUGACCGUCAGCGACCACGACGAAGACGAGUAAGUAAGUACCACCCGUACGGGGUAGGUACGGUCCCGGCCGAACCGGUACGGUAAACCGUAACGAAACGUAGUAAGUUAGGUUACGGGACGUUAGGAGGACGUUACGGACCGACGGACGACCGACGACGGGAGGGUAGGGAG